UACAGAGGUCUCAACCGUUGUUCGGAUUCAUUGGGCGUAAAGGGUGCGUAGGCGGUCGUGCAAGUCGGAUGUGAAAUCUCAGGGCUCAACCCUGAAACUGCAUUCGAUACUGCGCGGCUAGAGUGCUGGAGGGGAGACUGGAAUUUACGGUGUAGCAGUGAAAUGCGUAGAUAUCGUGAGGAAGACCAGUGGCGAAGGCGGGUCUCUGGACAGUUCCUGACGCUGAGGCACGAAGGUCAGGGGAGCAAACGGG
This 253-nucleotide ribosomal RNA is filed under the name uncultured bacterium. RNAcentral's name for it is "partial 16S ribosomal RNA". It matches the Rfam family "Bacterial small subunit ribosomal RNA", at positions 524 to 776 of the family's 1533-position model. The record is from RNAcentral.